AUUGAACGCUGGCGGCAGGCUUAACACAUGCAAGUCGAGCGAGCGGCGGACGGGUGAGUAAUGUCUGGGAAACUGCCUGAUGGAGGGGGAUAACUACUGGAAACGGUAGCUAAUACCGCAUACCAUCAGAUGUGCCCAGAUGGGAUUAGCUAGUAGGUGGGGUAAUGGCUCACCUAGGCGACGAUCCCUAGCUGGUCUGAGAGGAUGACCCACCACACUGGAACUGUGACACGGUCCAGACUCCUACGGGAGGCAGCAGGGGGGAAUAGUGCACUAUGGGCGAAAGCCAGAUGCAGCCAGGCCGCGUGUGUGAAGAAGGCCUUCGGGUUGUAAAGCACUUUCAGCGGAGAGGCGUUACCCGCAGAGGAGGCACCGGCUAACUCCGUGCCAGCAGCCGCGGUAAUUC
This 406-nucleotide ribosomal RNA is filed under the name uncultured bacterium. RNAcentral's name for it is "partial 16S ribosomal RNA". It matches the Rfam family "Bacterial small subunit ribosomal RNA", at positions 30 to 526 of the family's 1533-position model. The record is from RNAcentral.